This 253-nucleotide ribosomal RNA is filed under the name uncultured bacterium. RNAcentral describes it as "partial 16S ribosomal RNA". It matches the Rfam family "Bacterial small subunit ribosomal RNA", at positions 524 to 776 of the family's 1533-position model. The record is from RNAcentral.
CACGGGGGGAGCAAGCGUUGUUCGGAAUCACUGGGCGUAAAGGGCGUGUAGGCGGUCAAGUAAGUGGAAUGUGAAAGCCCCCGGCUUACCCGGGGAUCUGCAUCCCAAACUGCUUGGCUUGAGUACGGGAGAGGAUAGGGGAAUUCCUGGUGUAGCGGUGAAAUGCGUAGAUAUCAGGAGGAACACCGGUGGCGAAGGCGGCUCACUGGACUGGUAUUGACGCUGAGGUGCGAAAGCGUGGGGAGCAAACAGG